This 365-nucleotide ribosomal RNA is filed under the name Acinetobacter baumannii OIFC032. RNAcentral's name for it is "bacterial SSU rRNA". It matches the Rfam family "Bacterial small subunit ribosomal RNA", at positions 30 to 397 of the family's 1533-position model. The record is from RNAcentral. Lineage: Bacteria; Pseudomonadati; Pseudomonadota; Gammaproteobacteria; Moraxellales; Moraxellaceae.
UGAACGCUGGCGGCAGGCUUAACACAUGCAAGUCGAGCGGGGGAAGGUAGCUUGCUACUGGACCUAGCGGCGGACGGGUGAGUAAUGCUUAGGAAUCUGCCUAUUAGUGGGGGACAACAUCUCGAAAGGGAUGCUAAUACCGCAUACGUCCUACGGGAGAAAGCAGGGGAUCUUCGGACCUUGCGCUAAUAGAUGAGCCUAAGUCGGAUUAGCUAGUUGGUGGGGUAAAGGCCUACCAAGGCGACGAUCUGUAGCGGGUCUGAGAGGAUGAUCCGCCACACUGGGACUGAGACACGGCCCAGACUCCUACGGGAGGCAGCAGUGGGGAAUAUUGGACAAUGGGGGGAACCCUGAUCCAGCCAUGC